UAGGGAGUCUUCCGCAAUGGGCGAAAGCCUGACGGAGCAACGCCGCGUGAGUGAUGAAGGUCUUCGGAUCGUAAAACUCUGUUAUUAGGGAAGAACAAAUGUGUAAGUAACUAUGCACGUCUUGACGGCACCUAAUCAGAAAGCCACGGCUAACUACGUGCCAGCAGCCGCGGUAAUACGUAGGUGGCAAGCGUUAUCCGGAAUUAUUGGGCGUAAAGCGCGCGUAGGCGGUUUUUUAAGUCUGAUGUGAAAGCCCCCGGCUCAACCGGGGAGGGUCAUUGGAAACUGGUUGACUUGAGUGCAGAAGAGGAGAGUGGAAUUCCAUGUGUAGCGGUGAAAUGCGUAGAUAUAUGGAGGAACACCAGUGGCGAAGGCGACUCUCUGGUCUGUAACUGACGCUGAGGCUCGAAAGCGUGGGUAGCAAACAGG
Molecule: ribosomal RNA, 429 nt
Filed under: Bacteroidota bacterium
Lineage: Bacteria; Pseudomonadati; Bacteroidota
Description: Bacteroidetes bacterium partial 16S ribosomal RNA
Rfam family: Bacterial small subunit ribosomal RNA
Source: RNAcentral